AUUGAACGCUGGCGGCAGGCCUAACACAUGCAAGUCGAACGAGUGGCGGACGGGUGAGUAAUGUCUGGGAAACUGCCUGAUGGAGGGGGAUAACUACUGGAAACGGUAGCCAAUACCGCAUACCAUCGGAUGUGCCCAGAUGGGAUUAGCUAGUAGGGGGGGUAAAGGCUCACCUAGGCGACGAUCCCUAGCUGGUCUGAGAGGAUGACCAGCCACACUGGAACUGAGACACGGUCCAGACGCCUGCGGGAGGCAGCAGGGGGGAAGAUUGCACAAUUGGCGCAAGCCUGAUACAGCCAUGCCGCGUGUAUGAAGAAGGCCUUCGGGUUGUAAAGUACUUUCAGCGGGGAGGCGUUACCCGCAGAAGAAGCCCCGGCUAACUCCGUGCCAGCAGCCGCGGUAAUAC
This 406-nucleotide ribosomal RNA is filed under the name uncultured bacterium. RNAcentral describes it as "partial 16S ribosomal RNA". It matches the Rfam family "Bacterial small subunit ribosomal RNA", at positions 29 to 526 of the family's 1533-position model. The record is from RNAcentral.